UUCCCUGCUUGACAGACCCCUUUUCGUACAAUGUCCUUGGCAUAAGUGGAAGUCUUCAAAUAUGGAAACUGGGAGUUCAUUCAUUAUGAUUUCUGGAGACUUCUGAUUUCGGGUCACCUGAAAACCCAUUUAUAUACCCGCCUUUCUGGUCUAUAUUUUACUAACAUGCUUUUCAGGUUUAAACCCAUGGAGAUUUCUGGCUCUAAAAGACGAAAUCUCUGCUCUUCAGCAAGGAGGAGAAAUAACAAGGAGAAGAAAGAAGAACCAAUGUCAGGCGGAAGGAUUCUAGGAGAUUGCCAGUGAAAUGCGUAUUGAAAUGUCGAGGUCCUGAUAUGCCCAGCUUGUGGUUUAUGCUACAUUGACGAACAAACAAAAAUCACUGAGUAUUGCCUGUUACAACUCAUGACCACUGCUGUCGGUUCAUAUAUAACUGCAACAACUGCAGCUCUAUGAUACCGUGCUCCAGGAAUGUAAGGCAAACACAAAAACCGAUGUCUACAGACUACAAUUUAGCAGUAAUCGCAUUAGAAUCUCUGACUGGGAAAUCUCCUGGAGAGGCAAUGCAUGGUGUUGGUUUACCACAAUGGUGAACUUCAAUUGUGAAGGAAGAAUGGACAAUUGAAGUUUUUGAUGUCGAAAUACAUCUACAACAGGAGAUGAGUUGCUAAUACAUUGAAAUUAGCUCUACAUCAUGGUGAUCCGUUACCAGCCGCACGACCAGAAGUCCAACGAUUGGAAGAAAUGAAACCUGAAUUUGCUUCCAGUUCUGGUGAUGAUAGUGGUGCUGAUGUUGGUGUUAGUGGCUCUGGUUAUGGUGCCGCACUGCCGCUAUCGUCCCCCCUUCAAAUGACUGAGUAAAAUGAUUCUCUUAUCUCACCUUUUAGAAGUUUCUGUUAUUUUUCGUAGGACAUUAUAGACAUAAUAUUAGUGGUAGUGAGGCAUUUGUUCUUGAUGGGCUAUGGGUUUCAGACUUUACAUAUGCAGCAUACUCUGUUAACAAAUCUUGAUGGGUAAGCAUUUAUUCUGUGUUCUCUACUUUUAUACUUCUCUAUCAUCAAAUCAAAUACUGGUGGCUGUUUAGGUCUAUAUAUAUCACUACUGGUGGCUGGUGGUUGGAGACAAAUUCACUUGGAGAUGCUUCGUAUCUGACGAUUUCAUGACAUAAUCCACUGGCGAGAGUAAUUUUCUAUUGCUUUUAUCUCACCCACUUUGACAAUUCUAGUAGUAUAUAUCACUACUCCGAUGUUGCCUUAUCACAUAAUGUUGUGUACAUUUGUGGAAGGCUGCAGAUUGUUUUCAGAAACGAGUGUAUGUUGUAGGGCCUACGGCCCAUCUAUAUAGUUAGGGUUCACCUUCCAUGUAUAUAAAGGAUACUAUAGCUAUGUAAUAAGGUUGAUCCAUUAUCAAUAGAAAUCUCUCUUAUGUC
Molecule: long non-coding RNA, 1426 nt
Organism: Papaver somniferum (opium poppy)
Lineage: Eukaryota; Viridiplantae; Streptophyta; Magnoliopsida; Ranunculales; Papaveraceae
Exons: 2
Source: RefSeq, a predicted model, not a curated record